AUGAACGCUGGCGGCGUGCCUAAUACAUGCAAGUCGAGCGAACAGAUGAGGAGCUUGCUCCUCUGACGUUAGCGGCGGACGGGUGAGUAACACGUGGAUAACCUACCUAUAAGACUGGGAUAACUUCGGGAAACCGGAGCUAAUACCGGAUAAUAUAUUGAACCGCAUGGUUCAAUAGUGAAAGACGGUUUUGCUGUCACUUAUAGAUGGAUCCGCGCCGCAUUAGCUAGUUGGUAAGGUAACGGCUUACCAAGGCGACGAUGCGUAGCCGACCUGAGAGGGUGAUCGGCCACACUGGAACUGAGACACGGUCCAGACUCCUACGGGAGGCAGCAGUAGGGAAUCUUCCGCAAUGGGCGAAAGCCUGACGGAGCAACGCCGCGUGAGUGAUGAAGGUCUUCGGAUCGUAAAACUCUGUUAGUAGGGAAGAACAAAUGUGUAAGUAACUAUGCACGUCUUGACGGUACCUAAUCAGAAAGCCACGGCUAACUACGUG
Molecule: ribosomal RNA, 496 nt
Filed under: uncultured bacterium
Lineage: Bacteria
Description: partial 16S ribosomal RNA
Rfam family: Bacterial small subunit ribosomal RNA
Source: RNAcentral